Long non-coding RNA from Rhipicephalus sanguineus (brown dog tick), 689 nucleotides. RefSeq lists it as uncharacterized. NCBI's taxonomy places the organism in Eukaryota, Metazoa, Arthropoda, Arachnida, Ixodida, Ixodidae. The record is from RefSeq and is a predicted model, not a curated record. The transcript has 3 exons.
UUAUCUUACGCUUACGGCGCACGAACCAGAAGCAUGGACGAAAAGCAACUUUUUGCAACUCUCCUUUUCGUCGCCUGUGUAUCAAGAUUGGAAUGUAAAUGGCCGCUCCAGAGAAACCAUUGGGACAUAAAACAGUUUGUAAAAACACCAGAACCGAUAUGGACUUACGCUACAAGUCAAACGACGAACAUCAUUUGUAAAAAGGACAUCAAGCAGGUUAUGACUUUCCGCUUCAUCGUAUUCUAUAGAUCGUAUUACUACAACCGGCAAAAGCUAACUUUCAGGCUUGAGGGCGACUUUGAUCCCAAGCGAAAAGAACGUAUGGCCAUCAUUUCUAAAGGUAAGGCAAUUAUUCAGUGCUAGUUGGGAAUCAUCACAUACGUAGCAAGACAUCCAACCAAUUACGAAAGUUUCCAUGCAUUGCUGAAACGUUGGGAGUUCCCACACCGGUGAUUUUCUUUACAAGAGCAUGACGCUGUAUGUUAACAGCGCUUUUUAAAAACUCGGACAGACUUAAAUGUUACAUGUAACGCCGUUUUAAUACUUUUUGAAGAGCGCCUCACCAGUCACCGCUGUACAUUAUGUUUAUUCCGUGGCAGUUGUGAGGUGUCGUCUGGCAAGCAUUUCGUGGAAAGUUCAAAGUCGGUUGAUUACUGACCAUGUUAGUGGACCCGGAACUGAUUUUUGCU